AUUUUACAGUGAAGGUCGCCCCUGCAAUAGUACAGAUGGCAACUGUGUAAACUGACCUGGGUUUAUGUAUUUAUUCAUGUUCCAGACCAUGGCCCUUCACAGACUAUCCUUGAGAUUACGACAAACGAAUAAUGGUGACGACAUCAAAACGAUGAAAAGCUCAAAAGCUCUGGACACUUGCCAUUCUCUCAACCAGCUUCAUGACAUCGUCACCUGGAAUGCAUUUCAAUCGAGAGGUGUACCUUGGGAGUGUCUCGUGUGAAGAGCAGCAGUGAUGUGGUGGGGGGUG
Oncorhynchus keta (chum salmon) is the source of this 289-nucleotide long non-coding RNA. RefSeq lists it as uncharacterized. Lineage: Eukaryota; Metazoa; Chordata; Actinopteri; Salmoniformes; Salmonidae. The record is from RefSeq and is a predicted model, not a curated record. The transcript is spliced from 3 exons.